AUCCAAACUCGGCCUUUUGGCUAAGAUCAAGUGUAGUAUCUGUUCUUAUCAGUUUAAUACUUUUAAAAAUCAUUAAACAACUUAGCUGGCUAGUGUGGCUCAGCAGUUGAGCAUUGACCCAGGAACCAACAAGUUACCAGUUUGAUUCCUGGUCAGGGG
Myotis davidii is the source of this 159-nucleotide non-coding RNA. Lineage: Eukaryota; Metazoa; Chordata; Mammalia; Chiroptera; Vespertilionidae. The record is from Rfam.